UCUCUGGACAGGACGGGAUUUGAACUUCGCUCUUUUGAUGCACUAAACUGGCUACAUUUUGAAAGAAUAAUCUUCUGAAAUUUAGACCUUAUGUUCAGAAAGAAGUAUCUUUUACUGCAAGAAAAAUACAACAAAAAUUCACUGCUCGAGCCUUUCUUUAGUAAGCCCAAGUGGACAACUUCGGUGUUGAGCACAUCCCUGGGGCCGAGAUAGAGAGAACUCUGGUGAAUUACCGUACACCGAGUCAAAUAUUAGUGACUUAAAAGCAAGAAUAACUUGAUGUCGACCACAGCUCAUAUUUUCCCAGCAACUUUUACUUUAAUUGCUGGGGAAAUGUUAUGGGAAAACUACAGAUAAAUUGCCUCCUUUAUUUACACCCCAUGAACUUGAACUGUAUGUUGAUAAGGGGUUGUUUUCUCCAAGAGCUUUCAACGGCGAGAGACGGUGAUGGUCAACUUCGGAGCCCCUAAAAAGGCACAGGUGUUCUAAAGACAGCUACCUUCUGCUGACUACCUGGUGUGGACCUAGACGAGGGAACCAGCGAUUUGUGAGGCGUUGGGGGUAUACAAGCAGGCGGUGACUAGCUGGUGAACAGCUCCCGCACGAGGUAGUCUAUGGAUUGUGUUUGUUGUCUGUGGAAGUCGCCAAUGGACCAAGGUAGGGGCAAAUUGCUGUAUCCGACCUGCCACUUUUCAUCUAAAACCCUUCAAACACUUUUACCAAAAAAACAAUUUGUGUUCCCCCCCCCAAAAAAAAAAAAAAAAAACACUCAAUCCUUUAUAAAUACUUUGUUACCCGCCUCAAGCAACUGGUAGCAAACGCAAUGAUUGUUGACAACAAUCAAUUAAAUAAACUUUUCCGUGAAAAUCCUUUAAAAAUUCUUGUUACAAAAAAAUCCUUUCAAAGAAACUUUGUUACAAAAAAACAACCUUUCUAACAAUAAAGUAAGGUGUAAAAAUUUACCAAGCAACAAUAAAAGGCGGUCGGAUACCCCAAUUAUGUCAAAAGGAGACAAGACAGAGAAUUGUGGAGAAGACUGCAAAAGGUAGAAGGAGAUCUAACCCGUUUUCUUGCAGAGUCCCACCCCUGUUGUAACGCCCAUGUCCACUACAAGAUGUUCCAGAAAACUUGUUGAUGUUGUCCCUAAAAUGCUUUCAAGGUGAUGUCACACUGUCCAAGGCUUUUUUCUUGAAGUGCAUAUUGGUCGAAGCCAAUGAUGCUUUUAUAAUUAGAAGACUAGUCUUACUGGAUAUUUCUAACGGAGUUGAAACUUCAAGUCGCCAGUUGUCAUUUUAAGAUUAAUUGUCAUGAUUUGUUUUAUUUAUCGCAUUAUUUGUUAUAAAUUAUUAGUUCCAAAUACCAUAUAAAUUGUUAUCUUUAAUUUCAUUUUUAAUAGUUAAGUAAGAUAAAGCAAAAAUAUUUUUUAGGGAUUCCUCAAUUAAAACAAAAUUUCCUUACAACAUUUACUCUGCCUAUAUAGCACCCAAAACCCCAGUAAUCUCAUAAUCAAAAACUACUCUCUAGUAAUAUUUCUGUCCAAUCUGCAUUACGCAUGAAUGUGAUGAUCAAUGUUUGAAAUGAGAGUAGUAAAUAACUAAUUUAGAUUUGCUAAAUUAAUAUUUACAAACUCGUUUCAGCAUUUCAUCAUGUUGACACCAAGUCUCUUACACUCAGAUAGCCUAACUGAAAUUAGUAUAAACAAAAAUCAUAUUUAAUAAUAAUUAUAAUAAUCUGCAUUCAUUUGAUGGUCAAUGUUUGAUUGUCGAGUUGUAAAUAAAUACUUUAGAUUUGCUAAAUUAUUAUUUACAUAUUCGUUUCAACAUUACAUCAAAUUCUGAAUGUUGGCAAGUCCUUACCGUUUAACUUAGAAGACAACCGAAAACAAAAAAUAAUAAUAAUAAAGUAGCAAACAUGCAGUUUUGCAAUUUGCAAAUCUGUUUUAGUUAGGAAAAAUUCCACAAACCACUUUUCUAUUUGGUAGGGCUGUAAACGCAAAGAAGGGGAAAAAAAAUAAAAAAAUGAAAGGGGACCAAGAAAAAGGAUGCGACUUCUCAUUGAUGAAGCAAAGUGGUCCAUAAUGGAAAAAAUUACCCCAACCAUGCCUAUGUAUGUAUUAGUGGUAAGCUAGUGUUGGCCUAGACAGUAAGCUAGUGUUGGCAUAGACAGUAAGACAUAUUUGCCACUGUAUGCUAUCAGGCUAAACUCGUCACUUAAACUCAUUUUACGAAAUGCUAAUCUUGUUAGAUUUAAGUUUCUUUCAAUAUGCAGAUUACGUUUUCUUCUGGACACGAUGAGCUGGUCUAACUGCCAACAUCUUCAGCUAAAACUGAUCUACCAGCAAGGUCAGGGUGAUUAAGGCAUGAACAUGAGCAGAUAUGACCACAUGUUCGAUGUCUCUGAUGUGUGACCUAAGGCCAGCGAGGUCAACGAGCAGUCUUGUGAAGUGAUCAGUGAUGACUACAGCCAGAGCUGUUGCGAGGUUUAUCGGCGGAGGAGGCAGAUAGGAGAAAGUCAACAACAGCCUGCAUGAUUAUUCACCAAAGGUCAACUGUUCAAGAUGUGCUCAGCUGGACCAUGAUGGCGCCCUACUGACUGUAUGAUGAUACUCGAGGAGAAGACUAC
Asterias rubens (European starfish) is the source of this 2622-nucleotide long non-coding RNA. RefSeq lists it as uncharacterized. The record is from RefSeq and is a predicted model, not a curated record. The transcript is spliced from 4 exons. Lineage: Eukaryota; Metazoa; Echinodermata; Asteroidea; Forcipulatida; Asteriidae.